RNAcentral lists this unclassified non-coding RNA (247 nucleotides) under Ramalinaceae sp. Its description in RNAcentral is "partial contains 5.8S ribosomal RNA, internal transcribed spacer 2, and large subunit ribosomal RNA". The record is from RNAcentral. Lineage: Eukaryota; Fungi; Ascomycota; Lecanoromycetes; Lecanorales; Ramalinaceae.
CGCACAUUGCGCCCCUCGGUAUUCCGGGGGGCAUACCUGUUCGAGCGUCAUUACACCUCUCAAGCGUAGCUUGGUAUUGGGCCUCGCUCCCUCAAAAGGGCGUGCCUGAAAAGUAGUGGCGGUCCGGCGUGGCCUUGAACGUAGUAAAUUUACCCCCGUUCUGAAGGCUUCACGUCGCGGCUGGCCAGAAUUGUCCCAUCUCUCAAGAAUUGACCUCGGAUCAGGUAGGGAUACCCGCUGAACUUAA